This 447-nucleotide ribosomal RNA is filed under the name uncultured bacterium. RNAcentral describes it as "bacterial SSU rRNA". It matches the Rfam family "Bacterial small subunit ribosomal RNA", at positions 330 to 794 of the family's 1533-position model. The record is from RNAcentral.
UCCAGACUCCUACGGGAGGCAGCAGUGGGGAAUAUUGCACCAUGGGGGGAACCCUGCUGCAGCGACGCCGCUUGGGUGAUGCCGUACUUCGGUAUUUCCCGCCCUAUCAGCCUUGAAGAAAAUGCCGGUACCUGACUCCUCCGCCCCGGCUCCCUCCGUGCCAUCCUCCUCGGUAAUCCUUCUGGGGCAAGCGUUCUCCGGAUUUCCUGGGUGUAAAGGGAGCGUAGACGGCGUGCCAAGUCUGAUGUGAAAGGCCGGGGCGAAACCCCGGGACUGCAUUGGAAACUGGCAUGCUGGAGUGCCGGAGGGGCAAGCGGAAUUCCUAGUGUAGCGGUGAAAUGCGUAGAUAGUAGGAAGAACACCGGUGGCGAAGGCGGCUUGCUGGACGGUAACUGACGUUGAGGCUCGAAAGCGUGGGGAGCAAACAGGAUUAGAUACCCUCGUAUU